CUUUAAUUAUUGUGCAGUUAUUCCGAAGCUGCCCUUGUUUACGGAAUCAAGGGCAUUAUAAAUAGAAGCAAUUCUCCAGCUAUGUCCAUUUUAUGAGAAACAAAGAACGAAAGAAAGAAGGGAAAGGUUUUGGACGCACAAAACGGUGGCACCAUCAUAACCUUCAAAUUAGAGGGGGAGCGAUGGAUGGUGCCACGCUGUGUGCGUCUAAAUUACUUUACUCUUCCAAUUUUCAUGCCACUUUUUCCAGUUCUAUGGGAAGGCAAUUGAGUAGGUGCAUUUGGAGGAAUUUGAUGAUGAGCUACCAAUUAUAUUUGAUCUUUCCUCACUUAUUCAUGUUUUAUUUAAUCACUUUUUUAUCAUUUUGUUUAACUAAAUUCUUUCUUUAAUUCUUUAUCUUUUCUGUUGAUUUCGUCCUUCUCUCUCUCUCUCUCUCUAUACAUUACUUUGUCAUGUUAAUUACAUCAUUUGUUCCAUAUACGGAUUAAACUAACCCAUUUUACUUUUUCCCCUUUUGUUUCAUUAUCUUCUUUUAAUUCCCUAAUUUGUUAUGCUGCUUACAUUUCUUUCGUGUCUUGUCAUCUUAAUUGCAUCAUUACAUUAGUCCCAUACACUAAUCAAACUGUUUUGUUCAAGCAGGUGGAUACAUAGGCUUAAAGUUUUCUUCCGGGUAACAAACCAAUAGUAAUUAUUAUAUUGUAGUUUAUACAGUCAUAUAAUCCUCUCUCUUUUGCAAAAGCAAAAAAAUGUUGUUUCAUAGUUAGCCUCUUAAUUUUAUCUUAAUUAUGGAGUAUUCGACAUGGCAUGGGCAUAACUUAUGCGACUCGCAAUAUUUACAUCCAAUCGUGAUAGAUUAUUUGGAUCCAUUGGUGAAUUGACAUAUAUACUACUUCACUGGCCACUGCUGCUCUUGUGUGGAUGUGCCGUUGAAUCCAUCAGCGUGUGCGACAGUAUAUUAAUUUCUCACUCUCCUCUCUUCCUUUUCAGGGUAAAAAGCUGAAACUUGUUUCCUGCACCAUUGCAUCACUUGGGUUUGUUUUGUUUUCAUUUGUUUGCCGUUUCCAGAUUUCAGCAGCUUCCACGAAAAAUAAGGAUUAGGUGUCUAUUUCUGGACAUGUUAUUAUCAUACCAUGCACCGUAGUUGUAGCGAUCUUGCCACCGUGUGCUAUACGGAAGCUGACACCUGUCCGUUUCUAUUUCUCUUUAGCAUAAAUUAUCUUUUGAAUUUUGUCA
Ricinus communis (castor bean) is the source of this 1233-nucleotide long non-coding RNA. RefSeq lists it as uncharacterized. The record is from RefSeq and is a predicted model, not a curated record. The transcript is spliced from 2 exons. Lineage: Eukaryota; Viridiplantae; Streptophyta; Magnoliopsida; Malpighiales; Euphorbiaceae.